GUCCACGCCCUAAACGAUGGUCACUAGACAUUGGCGAUAUACCGUUCAGUGUCUGAGCGAAAGCGUUAAGUGACCCACCUGGGGAGUACGCUCGCAAGAGUGAAACUCAAAGGAAUUGACGGGGUCCGCACAAGCGGUGGAGCAUGUGGUUUAAUUUCGAUGAUACGCGAGGAACCUUACCUAGGUUAGAAUGCUGCGGGACCGCUCCUGAAAGGGGCGUUUCUCUUCGGAGACCGGUAGCAAGGUGCUGCAUGGCUGUCGU
RNAcentral lists this ribosomal RNA (262 nucleotides) under uncultured bacterium. RNAcentral's name for it is "partial 16S ribosomal RNA". It matches the Rfam family "Bacterial small subunit ribosomal RNA", at positions 793 to 1055 of the family's 1533-position model. The record is from RNAcentral.